UGACAAGCUUAAAGAGAAGUCAUGCAUAUUUCACUCAGGUCCAAAUGCAGAUGUUUGUUACCAAACGGAUGUAUGCAGACUUCAUCACUUGGACUCCUCAGACCUGCCUGAUAUUCAGAGUACAAAGAGAUGAGGACUUCAUCAGUGGUGCCAAUGUGAUGCAAACAUUUUGGUCACAACACAUACUACACAAACUUCGGGAGCUGAAAGAUGCACAGUCUCUUCACCAGGCGCAGAGGAAGUGGGCCAUCCAGAAUGUGGUACCGGCUCUUCAGGGCACCAAUGACUCUCUGCAGACCACAGAUCACAUAUUUGUUGUUAAAAUG
Long non-coding RNA from Gymnodraco acuticeps, 326 nucleotides. RefSeq lists it as uncharacterized. The transcript has 3 exons. The record is from RefSeq and is a predicted model, not a curated record. NCBI's taxonomy places the organism in Eukaryota, Metazoa, Chordata, Actinopteri, Perciformes, Bathydraconidae.